AGUGGCGAACGGGUGAGUAACACGUGGGCAAUCUGCCCUGCACUCUGGGACAAGCCCUGGAAACGGGGUCUAAUACCGGAUAUUACCUGGUUGCGCAUGCUUCCGGGUGGAAAGCUCCGGCGGUGCAGGAUGAGCCCGCGGCCUAUCAGCUUGUUGGUGGGGUGAUGGCCUACCAAGGCGACGACGGGUAGCCGGCCUGAGAGGGCGACCGGCCACACUGGGACUGAGACACGGCCCAGACUCCUACGGGAGGCAGCAGUGGGGAAUAUUGCACAAUGGGCGAAAGCCUGAUGCAGCGACGCCGCGUGAGGGAUGACGGCCUUCGGGUUGUAAACCUCUUUCAGCAGGGAAGAAGCGCAAGUGACGGUACCUGCAGAAGAAGCACCGGCUAACUACGUGCCAGCAGCCGCGGUAAUACGUAGGGUGCGAGCGUUGUCCGGAAUUAUUGGGCGUAAAGAGCUCGUAGGCGGCUUGUCGCGUCGGAUGUGAAAGCCCGGGGCUUAACUCCGGGUCUGCAUUCGAUACGGGCAGGC
This 533-nucleotide ribosomal RNA is filed under the name Kitasatospora sp. 645109. RNAcentral describes it as "bacterial SSU rRNA". It matches the Rfam family "Bacterial small subunit ribosomal RNA", at positions 94 to 641 of the family's 1533-position model. Lineage: Bacteria; Bacillati; Actinomycetota; Actinomycetes; Kitasatosporales; Streptomycetaceae. The record is from RNAcentral.